RNAcentral lists this ribosomal RNA (253 nucleotides) under uncultured bacterium. RNAcentral describes it as "partial 16S ribosomal RNA". It matches the Rfam family "Bacterial small subunit ribosomal RNA", at positions 524 to 776 of the family's 1533-position model. The record is from RNAcentral.
UACGUAGGGGGCAAGCGUUGUCCGGAAUCAUUGGGCGUAAAGAGCGUGUAGGCGGCCCGAUUAGUCCGCUGUGAAAGUCGGGGGCUCAACCCUCGAAUGCCGGUGGAUACUGUCGGGCUAGAGUGCGGAAGAGGCGAGUGGAAUUCCUGGUGUAGCGGUGAAAUGCGCAGAUAUCUGGAGGAAUACCGGUGGCGAAGGCGGCAUCCUGGACCGGCAUUGACGCUGAGGAGCGAAAGCUAGGGGAGCAAACGGG